RNAcentral lists this ribosomal RNA (450 nucleotides) under uncultured organism. RNAcentral's name for it is "partial 16S ribosomal RNA". It matches the Rfam family "Bacterial small subunit ribosomal RNA", at positions 332 to 798 of the family's 1533-position model. The record is from RNAcentral.
UACACUCCUACGGGAGGCAGCAGUGGGGAAUAUUGGACAAUGGGCGCAAGCCUGAUCCAGCCAUGCCGCGUGAGUGAUGAAGGCCCUAGGGUUGUAAAGCUCUUUCACCGGUGAAGAUAAUGACGGUAACCGGAGAAGAAGCCCCGGCUAACUUCGUGCCAGCAGCCGCGGUAAUACGAAGGGGGCUAGCGUUGUUCGGAUUUACUGGGCGUAAAGCGCACGUAGGCGGACUAUUAAGUCAGGGGUGAAAUCCCGGGGCUCAACCCCGGAACUGCCUUUGAUACUGGUAGUCUUGAGUUCGAGAGAGGUGAGUGGAAUUCCGAGUGUAGAGGUGAAAUUCGUAGAUAUUCGGAGGAACACCAGUGGCGAAGGCGGCUCACUGGCUCGAUACUGACGCUGAGGUGCGAAAGCGUGGGGAGCAAACAGGAUUAGAAACCCGGGUAGUCCCAU